AGUUGUGCAGCUUCAUAGAAACCAAGGAGGGGUAUCAACCACUGGUAUGAUUCUUCUAUCCCUGCCUCAUUCUAUCGUCCGCUGCCUCAAAGACCUAACUUUUACCUAAGCACUACUCUUCUUGCCUUCAGCUCCAAAAGCCCAGUGAGGCUUAGCAGGAAUACGCAUCAUUGCCUUAACUCCUAAUGGGUUGUCCUUACUCAUUAAGCAGGUUCCCUGGUUAAUGUUGCAGAUGGGAUAGUCGUGUGGGCAGCAACUGUAACGGUCUUCACAGCAGGGAGCACCCUCAAGUGGGCAGCAUCCCCAUUG
RNAcentral lists this unclassified non-coding RNA (309 nucleotides) under Hevea brasiliensis (rubber tree). The record is from RNAcentral. Lineage: Eukaryota; Viridiplantae; Streptophyta; Magnoliopsida; Malpighiales; Euphorbiaceae.